AUAUUUCACUUUCUUAGUAUAUACACUGAAAUUGGAACAAUAUAGAGAUUAGCAUGGCUCCUGAGCAAGGAUGAUGUGCAGGUUCAUGAAGAGUUACAAAAUUCU
This is a small nuclear RNA of Corvus moneduloides (New Caledonian crow), 105 nucleotides long. The record is from Ensembl. Lineage: Eukaryota; Metazoa; Chordata; Aves; Passeriformes; Corvidae.